AUUUCUGUCGUUCCAUAAGAUUACCAAUUAAAACCUUGGAUUGCCUACUUAUUCUAACAGUCUAGCCGAACAUGAUUCCCAUAAAGUCGAAGCAAUGACCUGCGAACAAGAGAGAGAAAUAAGAAAAUGUAAACUUUUUGCUUCAGUUUUCUCCUGCACUGCAUCAAGUUAUAUCCGUGAUCAUGUGCUAUUAGGACCUCAUUUUAAGAUGAUUUGUUUGAGACAACGAUACAGAUUAAAAGCAACAAUGCCAACGUGGAUGAUGAAAUCAUGCUCGAUAAGGAUGGUGUUGAGAUUUUGGCAUGACCUCACCUCUCAGCAAGCUCCUUCUCUGUUUUGUUCCUCUCCUCAACACUCUCUUUUUUUGUUUGUUCUUUAUCUCACGCACUCUCACUUGUGUUUCAUCUUAAACACAAGCAUACUCUUUCUCUUUACUCUCUCGUAUGUCUUUGUUCUUGCAGAGAAAAGAGAAAACACUUUUAGAUGUCUACAUUCUUAGCCUUUUCUCAUUUUGUUUUCUUAACAUACAAACUUGCAUACUUAUAAAAAUCGUUUUCUCAUUAACAAUUACACACAGACUUAGACUUGUACACUUAACUACUACAACAUUAGACCUUACUUCUAGCUAAGCAACUCUCAACAACUCUAACAAUUAACUAGACUUUAUCCAACACUUCACUUUUUGUUGUUUUAACCAAACUAAUGUUUAGUUGCUUCUUGACUUAGUUUGUUGUAACGAAGUCAGAUCUCAAAUAUUCUUUAGCCUUUUGAAUUCUCCGCGUCAACUUCUUCUUUGUUCUUUUUUUAUUGCGUGGCAAGUUCCCUUGCUUCCACUUCUUCUUCUCACUUGAUCUCAUUUUUUUAGGUUUAAUCGAAGUUUCAAACUCCAACAGAUGGCUUUGUGUCUGAAACUAAUGCAACCAAAAUUCGUUUGAAAAAACUAUUAGGGUGGAGGAAUUCUGUUUGAUGCAAUUCAUGGUGAAGAAAGGCCGAGUUCUCACUCCGUAUGCAGAUUACAAUCUUCCAUGCAUUAUCCGAGCUACUUUCCUGGAACUGGUGGUGAAAGAAAACUUUAUAGUACAAGAACGAAAAUCAGCUUGUAGGAUCAGUUCCAUACAGAUAGAAAGUGCGUGAUGUUUUUCAUCUAUGCAAGUCUGGGUCAACGUAAUAACAGUUGGUCGCCAGCCGCGACCAAGUCAAGUCAGCCGCUCCUUGUUCGACGGCUGAACAAACAAACUGAACUGCCGAAUAAAUUUACUCAUCAC
Raphanus sativus (radish) is the source of this 1265-nucleotide long non-coding RNA. RefSeq lists it as uncharacterized. The transcript has 4 exons. The record is from RefSeq and is a predicted model, not a curated record. Lineage: Eukaryota; Viridiplantae; Streptophyta; Magnoliopsida; Brassicales; Brassicaceae.